CAAUAGCGUAUAUUAAAGUUGUUGCGGUUAAAAAGCUCGUAGUUGGAGUUCUGCCAGGUGACGCUCGUCCGCCCAAGUGGUGUGUACAGGGCGUGCAUCUGGCCCUUUCAAGGGGAACGUGUCUGCACUUUACUGUGUGGUGCGAGAUCCUUGACUUUUACUUUGAGGAAAUCAGAGUGUUCCAAGCAGGCUCUCGUCGUGUAUAGCUCAGCAUGGAAUAAUAGCAUUGGACUUCGUUUCUAAGCUGUUGGUUGCAAGAAGCGAGGUAAUGAUGAAGAGGGAUAGUUGGGGGCAUUCGUAUUUAACCGUCAGAGGUGAAAUUCUUGGAUUUGUUAAAGACGGACUACUGCGAAAGCAUCUGCCAUGGAUGUUUUCAUUGA
This 380-nucleotide ribosomal RNA is filed under the name uncultured eukaryote. Its description in RNAcentral is "partial 18S ribosomal RNA". It matches the Rfam family "Eukaryotic small subunit ribosomal RNA", at positions 592 to 976 of the family's 1831-position model. The record is from RNAcentral.